This 433-nucleotide ribosomal RNA is filed under the name uncultured bacterium. Its description in RNAcentral is "partial 16S ribosomal RNA". It matches the Rfam family "Bacterial small subunit ribosomal RNA", at positions 29 to 507 of the family's 1533-position model. The record is from RNAcentral.
AACGAACGCUGGCGGCAUGCCUAACACAUGCCAGUCGAACGAGACCUUCGGGUCUAGUGGCGCACGGGUGCGUAACGCGUGGGAACCUGCCCUUAGGCUCGGAAUAACUCCCCGAAAGGGGUGCUAAUACCGGAUAAUGUCUUCGGACCAAAGAUUUAUCGCCUUUGGAUGGGCCCGCGUUGGAUUAGCUAGUUGGUAGGGUAAAAGCCUACCAAGGCGACGAUCCAUAGCUGGUCUGAGAGGAUGAUCAGCCACACUGGGACUGAGACACGGCCCAGACUCCUACGGGAGGCAGCAGUGGGGAAUAUUGGACAAUGGGCGAAAGCCUGAUCCAGCAAUGCCGCGUGAGUGAUGAAGGCCUUAGGGUUGUAAAGCUCUUUUACCCGGGAUGAUAAUGACAGUACCGGGAGAAUAAGCGCCGGCUAACUCCGUG